GGGCCGGUGGCGCAGCUGGAAGCGCACCGCGCUGGCGUCGCGGAGGUCGUGGGUUCGAAUCCCACCCGGUCCACCA
RNAcentral lists this transfer RNA (76 nucleotides) under archaeon. Its description in RNAcentral is "tRNA-Ala". It matches the Rfam family "tRNA". From Rfam's summary of the family: Transfer RNA (tRNA) molecules are approximately 80 nucleotides in length. Their secondary structure includes four short double-helical elements and three loops (D, anti-codon, and T loops). The record is from RNAcentral.